Raphanus sativus (radish) is the source of this 1930-nucleotide RNA transcript. It is a transcript of the gene named transcription initiation factor TFIID subunit 15b, with no coding region annotated. Lineage: Eukaryota; Viridiplantae; Streptophyta; Magnoliopsida; Brassicales; Brassicaceae. The record is from RefSeq and is a predicted model, not a curated record. The transcript is spliced from 8 exons.
UGUAAGAGAAACGCGACAUUUGUUUUAACGUAAAAGGCUCACAAUUCUCCAAGUCUGUUGUCUAUCGCAAACCCUAGGUCAUGUCUGGAACGUACAAUCAAGGCGGCGGCGGCGGCGGUGGUGGUGCGCCUAUUCCGUCGUACGGUGGGGAUGGAUACGGAGGAGGAGGAGGUGGAGGUUAUGGAGGUCGCAGUUCCUCUGGCGGAGGUGGAUACGGCGGACGCGGUGGUUACGGUGGCGGCGGCGGUAGAGGAAAUCAAGGCGGUGGUGGAUAUCAAGGAGGUGAUCGCGGUGGAAGAGGAGGUGGAGGAGGCGGCGGGAGAGGCGGUGGUGGGAGAGAUGGUCGUGGUAGAGAUGGUGAUUGGCGUUGCCCUAACCCUAGUUGUGGGAACGUGAACUUUGCAAGGAGAGUUGAAUGUAACAAGUGUGGUGCACCUGCUCCUUCUGGCACUGGUGACCGAGGAGGUGGCCGAGGUGCCAGUGAUCGUGCUGGUGGUGGUCGUGAUAGUAGUCGUGAUAGUGGUAGGAGCUAUGAGAGUAGUAGAUAUGAUGGUGGCAGUAGGAGUGGUGGUGGUGGCUCUUAUGGUAGUGAUAGUCAACCUAGGGGUAAUGGUUCUUAUGGUCAGGGUCCUCCGCCUCCUUUGGCGGCUAUUCCAUCCUAUGAUGGUUCUGGCAGUUACCCUCCACCCAUGGGGUAUGGAAUGGAAGCAGUUCCUCCGCCUUCAAGCUAUGCAGGGGGUCCACCUUCGUAUGGUGGUCCCACAGGGGGUUAUGGCGGUGAUGCACCGAGCACUGGUGGUCGGGGUGGUAGAGGUGGUGGAUAUGAUGGUGGUAGAGGUGGUGGCUACGAUGGUGGUAGUGCUCCUCGACGCCAGGAACCUAACUAUGGAGAUGCACCUGCUGAAAAAGUCAAGCAGUGCGACGAGAAUUGUGAUGAAACUUGUGAUAAUGCCAGAAUAUACAUCUCUAAUUUACCUCCGGAUGUGACGACCGAUGAACUCAAGGAUCUCUUUGGUGGCAUUGGCCAAGUUGGAAGAAUCAAGCAGAAGCGGGGUUACAAAGAUCAGUGGCCCUAUAACAUCAAGAUUUACACUGAUGAGAAGGGAAAGAACAAAGGUGACGCCUGCCUGGCUUAUGAAGAUCCCAGCGCAGCACACUCGGCAGGCGGCUUUUUCAACAAUUAUGAAAUGAGGGGGAACAAGAUUACUGUAGCGAUGGCAGAGAAGUCUGCGCCUAAAGCUCCUGCUUUUGACCAGAGAGGUGGCGGUGGUAGAGGAGGGGGUGGCUAUGGUGGUGGUGGGGGAGACAGAAGAAGAGAUAACUAUGGUUCAGGACCAGACAGAAACCACCAUGGGGGAAACCGGUCGCGUCCGUAUUGAGAGGAAUCAAUGAAUCAGCAGCAGCUUGUUAUGUAUUCUAAGAGUUUUGUGUGUGUUGAGAGUUUGGAAUUUUAGUUAUAAAUGUUGCGUUAAUGGGGGAAACUGUACUAUAAAUCAUCAUAUUUUGGAGAUGCAAACGAAAAAAAGAGGAAGUGGGAUAAAUUGACUCCAAAAUGCAUUGCGAAUUGGUGCGAAUGAUGACUUCAGCAACAUAUGUGCGAUACGAAACGGCAGGAAGUGGGGGUUGGCUAGGCAUUUCUUUCUGAUCCGUGGAACCUGUAGUAUGGAAUGAAAUUUCAAAGAUCAGCUUGAUGAAUCUAGUGCUAACUAGGUGGUUUUUAUAAGACCCGUUGAGGCUAUAGCGAAUAUUUACAAACCAGUGGCGGUUUUAGGUCAAUAUAAAUGAUUCAUUGAAAGAGAAAGGGUAUCUCGUAAAGUUUUUUAGAUGUGCCUUGAUACGAUAAUGGCCAAUUGGAAUCUUAUUGUUGAUGUCUGAGUUGGAUCCGGUAUAGUUGCCGUCGCCGACAUGUCGUUACGAAAGAAUAAAAGGA